UUCAGUACUGCAAAUUUCUACUGGAGUCCUUUUCUCCUCUCAUCGAGCCUCUCUUCUUCCAUCUCAUCCAACCCCUCUUCUUACCUCUUCAGCUCUUGUUUGUCGCUUUCAUCGAGUCCCUCUUCUUCCCUCUCAAGCUAUUAUUUUUCCUUCUCAUUAAGCCAUUGUUCUUCGGCCCUUCUUCUCUAGCCUCCAUUAAAACCCUAACGCCUCUUUCGCGUUACCCUCUCCUCAAACCCUAACCUCCACCCCAUGCUCUACUACAAGGUUGACGGGAUUGGAGACCGCUCCACCAGUCAUGCCUACUUGUUGGCUCUCCCCUUGAACCCUAACUCAUUCUCAGACUCACGUGGAGAUGGCUGGAAUGGUAGCGUCGAAGUCUCGUGCUCACUGGCUAAAGUUUUCUCCCUCACACUCGCUCACGGUCACUGGUAGAGAAGAAGAAUGUCUCACACUAACCGUUCUUCUCGUUCACGCUCACUCAAAGAGAAGAAGUUCGUCCAUUCUUCUCACGUUCACUCACCUUGUUGGACAUCAUGCUCACUUGGGAGUGUUAUUCGUUCAAUCGAAUGGUCUGUUGUGGGGUUCACCGAAUAGAUUCCCUUGUUCUUCAAAAUGUAGUUGAUUUGAUGAAUAGAGCUUCCGAAAUGUGAAAGACGGUGAUGGACUUAUUCCUUCCCUUCUUAAUGAUGGAGUAAUGGAUCCAACCAUUUCAAAGCAUUUUUGAAUGAACUCUGGGGAGAUGCUGGUUUCUCAAGUCAAAUUUGCAUUUCUAUCUCGAUUAGAAAUAACCAUUUUAUUCAUACCAGGUAGAAAUAUCACUUUGAUUUUUUAAAUGAUUGUUUGGUGACAUGUUCCAAGUUCAACUUAAACAUUUCCUGGGAGUUACAAAUUAGUUCGUUCUCCUCUUGUCUCAAUGGGAAAUGAAACAUUUCCUAAGUCAGCCAUAUAAUACUAACCAGAAGCAAAGUUCUACGAGGCCCAGGCUCGAUGGGAAAGCCAAGACUGCUAAGCUUGUCAGAAAAACUGAACAUAAACUAUUUUUAAGACAACACUCUGCUUCAAUCAAUGAAUUCAACACAAUCCUUCAAAAAGUUCAAAAAUGUCCAUUUCUUUGUCAACAUAUUUCUCUAGUUGAUGUUGGUGGUGGAACUGGAGCUAUAAUAAACAUGAUAGUCUCAAAAGUAUCCCAAUAUCAAGGGUAUUAAUUUUGAUUUACCCCAUGUCAUCGAAGAUGCCCCAUUUUGAUUUAGCAAUGGUUUCCUGACAUCAAAUUUCACAUUGCUAUUUUUCUGUAGCAGUUUCCUGACAUCAAAUUUCACACUGACAUUUUUGUUAGUGUUCCAAAAGCCGACACUAUUUUUAUGAAGUAUGUUUGAGUGCAGUAUGUUUGAGUGCAAUUCAGAUGUGAUUAUGAAGCUUAGAUGACUAUAUGAACUUACGAGAUUAUUAAUGCAAGUUGGCUGAGAAAACAUCAAUUAAUCAGGGAAGAGAAAACAACAAAGAAGAAAGGAGUUUUCGUGAGAGUUUUGGUGUGCAUCCGUUCGAGAGGCUGAGAAAGCAAGAUAAACAUGAGGCUUAAUGCAGCAAGGAAGGGAGGAAACUUAAGAGAAUAAUAGAACUUUGAUACUUUGUAUAAAUAUAUAUUACACUUUUAACUAUACAUUUUAAUUAUGUUAGUUAUUUGAAGUUA
This is an RNA transcript of Vigna radiata var. radiata (mung bean), 1693 nucleotides long. It is a transcript of the gene named isoflavone-7-O-methyltransferase 6-like, with no coding region annotated. NCBI's taxonomy places the organism in Eukaryota, Viridiplantae, Streptophyta, Magnoliopsida, Fabales, Fabaceae. The transcript has 6 exons. The record is from RefSeq and is a predicted model, not a curated record.